AGAGUUUGAUCCUGGCUCAGAAUGAACGCUGGCGGCGUGCCUAACACAUGCAAGUCGGACGAGAAAGGCGAAUUUCGGUUUGCCGAGUAAAGUGGCGCACGGGUGAGUAACGCGUGGGUAACCUACCCUUGAGUUGGGGAUAACAGGGCGAAAGCCCUGCUAAUACCCGGUAGAGCCCCGGGGCGGAAGCAACCGGGGGGAAAGCCGGCCGCAAGGCAGGUGCUCGGGGAUGGGCUCGCGUCCUAUCAGCUGGUUGGUAGGGUAACGGCCUACCAAGGCUUCGACGGGUAGCUGGUCUGAGAGGAUGAUCAGCCACACUGGCACUGGAACACGGGCCAGACUCCUACGGGAGGCAGCAGUGAGGAAUUUUGCGCAAUGGGGGAAACCCUGACGCAGCAACGCCGCGUGGGUGAAGAAGGCCUUCGGGUCGUAAAGCCCUGUCAGGUGGGAAGAACCGGCAGGUGAGCAACACGCAUCUGCUCUGACGGUACCACCAGAGGAAGCACCGGCUAACUCCGUGCCAGCAGCCGCGGUAAUACGGAGGGUGCAAGCGUUAUUCGGAAUUACUGGGCGUAAAGCGCGUGCAGGCGGGAAGGAAAGUCUGAUGUGAAAGCCCGGGGCUCAACCCCGGAAGUGCAUUGGAAACUACUUUUCUUGAGUACUGGAGAGGAAGGGGGAAUUCCCGGUGUAGAGGUGAAAUUCGUAGAGAUCGGGAGGAAUAUCAGUGGUGAAGGCGCCCUUCUGGACAGUAACUGACGCUGAGACGCGAAAGCGUGGGGAGCAAACAGGAUUAGAUACCCUGGUAGUCCACGCUGUAAACGAUGAGAACUGGGUGUAGCGGGUACUCAUUCCUGCUGUGCCGUAGCUAACGCGUUAAGUUCUCCGCCUGGGGAGUACGGCCGCAAGGUUAAAACUCAAAGGAAUUGACGG
RNAcentral lists this ribosomal RNA (930 nucleotides) under uncultured Syntrophobacteraceae bacterium. RNAcentral's name for it is "bacterial SSU rRNA". It matches the Rfam family "Bacterial small subunit ribosomal RNA", at positions 8 to 916 of the family's 1533-position model. Lineage: Bacteria; Pseudomonadati; Thermodesulfobacteriota; Syntrophobacteria; Syntrophobacterales; Syntrophobacteraceae. The record is from RNAcentral.